UCAAGUCUGCUACAGGAGGAUUUUUGUUGUGAUUAACCUGCUUUUCUCCUUCGCAAGUUGUUUAUUAAUAUUUGUGUAAUUCUAUUAACUCCUAAAAUUUCUGCAUGUGUUAGAAAUAUUUAUUUGGUUUGGGUCUGUAAUAUAAUUAUCAUAUUGGACCUGUAAACUUAUUAUUAUAUGCAUGAUUGAUGGACUGGAUGAGGAAGCUGAGCUCCCAUUUAUUUUUGAUGACAUUGAGUAUGUGGAGGGUGAGCUGA
RNAcentral lists this unclassified non-coding RNA (257 nucleotides) under Hevea brasiliensis (rubber tree). Lineage: Eukaryota; Viridiplantae; Streptophyta; Magnoliopsida; Malpighiales; Euphorbiaceae. The record is from RNAcentral.